Molecule: ribosomal RNA, 495 nt
Filed under: uncultured bacterium
Lineage: Bacteria
Description: partial 16S ribosomal RNA
Rfam family: Bacterial small subunit ribosomal RNA
Source: RNAcentral
GACGAACGCUGGCGGCGUGCCUAAUACAUGCAAGUUGAGCGCUGAAGGUUGGUACUUGUACCAACUGGAUGAGCAGCGAACGGGUGAGUAACGCGUGGGGAAUCUGCCUUUGAGCGGGGGACAACAUUUGGAAACGAAUGCUAAUACCGCAUAAAAACUUUAAACACAAGCUUUAAGUUUGAAAGAUGCAAUUGCAUCACUCAAAGAUGAUCCCGCGUUGUAUUAGCUAGUUGGUGAGGUAAAGGCUCACCAAGGCGAUGAUACAUAGCCGACCUGAGAGGGUGAUCGGCCACAUUGGGACUGAGACACGGCCCAAACUCCUACGGGAGGCAGCAGUAGGGAAUCUUCGGCAAUGGACGAAAGUCUGACCGAGCAACGCCGCGGGAGUGAAGAAGGUUUGCGGAUCGUAAAACUCUGUUGGUAGAGAAGAACGUUGGUGAGAGUGGAAAGCUCAUCAAGUGACGGUAACUACCCAGAAAGGGACGGCUAACUACG